RNAcentral lists this long non-coding RNA (1173 nucleotides) under Cairina moschata (Muscovy duck). RNAcentral's name for it is "domestica (muscovy Duck (domestic type)) lncRNA (ENSCMMG00000016266.1)". The record is from RNAcentral. Lineage: Eukaryota; Metazoa; Chordata; Aves; Anseriformes; Anatidae.
AUUCCUGCAGUUACCGACAACGAGAGCCUCGAUCGGAGCUCCACCAGGCCGGCUGUGCUCCCCAAAGCACACGCCAGGCUCUGCUCCGGCACGGCAGGCGAUGUGCCACCCAGCUCCGCACACACCCGGCUCGGGGCGCCCAGCUCCGGGGCGCGCUCCAGGCUCCGUGAGCACCGCACCGCUCCAGCGCGGCGUGCCGGCCACCUCCUGGGGAGCGCAUCGGUGGGAAACCCCGGCUCUCUCCCCAAAAUACCCCCGCGCUUCUCCCCGGGUGCGAGCACGCCUCCUCCCUCCAGGCAGGCUGCUGCUGUAGCCAAGGUUACCCAAGGAGACCCUCGCCGAAGUUGCUGGGUUCCCGAUCCGCGGCGCUGCCCCCCGGCCCCGCACCGCCCCGCGCCGCUCCCGCAGGUGCGCGGCCGCCCCCCCGCAGCACCGGCGAGCCGUAAAACGGGGGAGGAGAGCGCACCGAGGCGGCAGGGGACGGCUGCCCCCGUCUCCUCUGCCUCUCCUGCGGCUGCUCUGCCGGGGGCACCCCGCGGGGGGCUCCUGGAGCUUCCCCCGAGCCCCCCCAAAAUCUCUCUCUCCCCCCCCCAAGCACCCAGCACGCCCCCGCCGCAUUACCUAACUGCGAGCGGCACUGGGCGGCUCGGCACCGGCUCCAAGCGACGCCGAGGCGGCUGCACCCCCCCUUGCCGGCUAUUAAAAAAAAUAAUAAUAAUAAAAAAAAAAAAAGUAGAAAAAAAAAUUCAAAGUGCAACUCCCCGCGCACAGGCAAGUUACUGGCCAAGUCCUGCGUGCAGCCAGGCGGCGGGGGGGUCCCUCCCUCUGCCCUCCCGUCCCGUCCCGUCCCGUCCCGCCGCUCACCCCCGAAGCUGCCGCGGACCGGGCUGGGCUCCGGCUCCGGCUCCGGCUCCGGGUCGGGCUGGGGCUCGGCUCCGCGCGGCGCUCCCCGCCCGCGCCCGGGAUGAGCUCAGCUCAGCCCCGCCGCACGCCGCCCCGCUCCGCCCGCCCGCCGCAGCUCUCGCGAGAGGCGGGGAGGGAGAGGAGGCAGAGGCAGAGGCAGAGGCAGAGGGGCUGCCCCGCCGCCCGCCCCUGCGCGCUCCGGAGAGGCGGGGCGGGGGCGAGCGGCCCCCGCGCGUUGCUGAGGCAACGGCCCAAGCGCCGGGCCUGUGA